This 3341-nucleotide long non-coding RNA is filed under the name Cricetulus griseus (Chinese hamster). Its description in RNAcentral is "lncRNA (ENSCGRG00015032220.1)". Lineage: Eukaryota; Metazoa; Chordata; Mammalia; Rodentia; Cricetidae. The record is from RNAcentral.
CGCAGUAGCAAUGGAAAUGGAUGGGUAGCCAGCUUGGUAGACCAGAUAGUUGUCGAAUCAUCCAUAUUUACCAACCAAAGGGUGAAAAAUAGCCCGGAUGGCUAACAUGUCGCUCUGUCACUAAAUGGGGCCUCGAGAUGCCAGACAGGAUGACUGCGCAAACAUGGCUGUAACCUGGAGAAGGAACAGUUUCUUUCACACAUGCGAGGUUCUGGCAGAGGCAUUUUGUUGCUUCUUAGGGUUAGAAGAACUGAGCUAGCAAGAGUCUGUACUGUCUGUGCCUGACAGGAGAAUUUUCGAAAAGCUCAGAGCCACUGGUUGCACAAAUACCUGACUCCAGUAGCUCAGGAAGACUAUCAAAGAUGGGAAGUCAGCCUGCAAGCCCGAAGUGAGAGCUCACUUGCAGUUCUCCCUUUAGCCUAGAGGUUUCCUAGGCAACCACUUAAGCAGUAAUUAAAGAUGAAGAACUAAAAGACUUCCUCCAGUCCACCUGACUUCAAGGCACUUCCUCUUGCCCCAGCUCCUGAGCCUUCCUGCCCUUCUGCACAGUGCCAUCGACCACCCCUUUGCUGAGGGAUGCAUCAGCAUGUCCUGGGACUUCUACAGGGACUGAGAGAGUUGGAAAGAAACUCUCCCAGCCUCCUUGGUCUACGGAGGAAACAAUGGAUGGGCACCUUUGCAGGGAACACACUGACAUCAGCACUGCCUUGGAGAUAAAAAACAGUUGAGGAGAGAGAGGCUGAGAGAAAACGUCAACGACCCAGAGAUUCAGUAACCAAACAGCAGGAAGUGAUGAGAGUCUCCAAACAACUUUGAGAUGACUUUGGAAGGGACCCUGAUGCCACAUUGACUGAGCACCAACAGCCACUAGCCUGAUGUCCCCCACAAAAUGCAGAGUCAGGAGGAGCACCUCAUUGAGGCUGCACAAUGAAAGUGUGUAACAAGGAGGUCCAUGCAUGUAGCUGCUCGUCUUUCAGCUGAGGCUGUUCUAGUGAGGACAGGCUGGGUGCUAGGUCCCUGGAGGAGAAGUGGGGGCUUCUCAUGAACGCACGUGCACCUUUACACCCGUAUCAUGUGGGGUCUGCCAUAUGUCCCCAAGGACCCAAGACUAGUGAUCAUCUCUUGAACCUCUGCUGUAAGACAUCAGCAGUAAACACGGCACAGGUAGCCCAGAAGUAAUGUGGUUGGAUAGAGACCUUCCAAGCAUCAGCAGUGUGCAGACAUAGGCUCUGAGAGAGGCCCUGCUCCUCAGGCCAUUCCCAGGCCCUGCCUGAAGCAGUUACACUGAUGACAAGUGCUUUGUUUUCCCGCUGGACAUCAGUUUAAGAGGUAGAAUGAUUACCCUAGCAUGCACUCAUUCACAAGGCCUUGGGUUCGAGCCCCAGCACUCCAGAUACCGAGUGUGGUGGCACAUGCCCGCUGAUGAAGAGAUCCCAGGAGGCAUGGGAGUGAGGAGUUAAUCCUAAUAUUCACCCAGGUCAACCGGAGGAAGGGCUCCUGGCAUGGCAGGCACCUCCAAGACACAUUCCUGUGUGUCCUUUUGUUGACUCCUCCCCCGCAUUCCAAUCUCUACUUGUGCUGGAGCAAAGCAGUGGAGACGGUGUCCACGGAGCAGAUUAACCAUACUUUGCCCCAACCUGCCCAUGAUUAGGCAGCCAUUCCCUGGCUGGCAGUCCUUGGAGGGACAGACACAAUCCAGGAAACACUCAGCAAGAGUUGUGACCAGGACAUCAUAGCAAAAUGGAGCUCAUUUCUAGACCUCACAUACUCAGGUGUGUGUGUUUCUGGUACUGGGGAGACAGCUCAUCGAGAAAAGCCACUUGUCAUACAAACAUGAAGAUGUGUGUUUGCUUCCUAGAACCCACAUUUUAAAAAGCUGAGCACGGUGGUGACUGCUCAUAAUCCCAGCACUGGGGAAGGGGACAUGGGCAGGUCCCUGGAGCUCAUGGGCCAGUCAACCCAGCCUAGUUGCUGAACUACAAACUAGUGAGAGAGCCUGUUUCAUCAAAGUGGAUGGCUCCUGAGGAAUGGCCCCCGAGGUUUCCUGGCUACUAAACACACAUAUGUGUGUAUACAUGUCCCUGUACCCAUGAACUUGCCUGGGCACACAUAACAGACACAAAGCCAAAUGCUUCUCUGUCUACUUUUCAGGGCACAAUAGGCCACUGUCAUUGUCCUUUCCACGUGUCAUCUCUGGCCACACACCUCAUCCUUACUGUUUUCUCAGCUAGCAGGCUGUACAUUUUUUCUCUCUUUGAAACAGGGUCUCAGUGUAGUUCUGGCUGUCCUGGAACUCACUAUGUGGGCCAAACUAGCCUUGAGCUGAGCUCCAGCUGCCUCUAACCUCCUGAGUACCGGCAUUAAAGCCUGCUGUCUGUAAGCUUCUUAAUUCAGGGUCUCUGCACAUAUGGGCCACAAAGUGCUAUUUCCCACACACUUUGUCUGUGAAGCAGUCUGAAAAGCAGCAGGUUUAGUGGACAUUGUCUGAGGAACCCAUGACAUGCCUGUUGUCAUUCUCCACACAUGAAGAAAUACUGCUGUGCCUGGCCUGCCCGCAGCUUGCUCUGAGCCAGGAUGUAUUCUGACUGUUCAAAACACUACUGGUGUUUUGGUCCCAUGCAGGCUCCCCAGCUGUCAGUCUAGAGUCUGAAAGCUCCCACAAGCUCUCAGCUGUGCUCAGCUGUCUCUGUGGGUUUCCACAUCAUGAUCUUGGCCUCCCCCCUUGCUCAUAUAAUCCCUCCUCCCUCUCUUCACUUGGACUCCCAGAGCUCAGCCUGGUGCUUAGCUGUGGAUCUCUGCAUUGCUUCCAUCAGUUACUGGAUGAAAGUUCUAUGAUGGCAGUUAGGGUAAUAAUCAAUCUGAUUACAGGAGAAAGCCAGCUCAGGCACCCUCUCCUCUAUUACUAGGCGUCUUAGAGGUCAUCCUUGUGGAUUCCUGGGAGUUUCCCUGGCACCAGGUUUCUCCCUAACCUCAUCAUGGCUCCCUCUAUCAAGAUAUCUCUUUCAUUGCUGUCCCUCUCCAUCUCUCCCCCAACCCGGCCAUCCUGAUAACUCAAGUUCCCAUCCCUUAUCCCCAUCCCCCUGCGUUCCCCGUCCCCAAUUUACCCAGGAGACCUCGUCUAUUUCCCAUUCCCAGGGCUAUUUAUGGGACCCUCUUAGGGUCCUUGCUUGUUACCUAGCUUCUCUGGAGCUGUGGAUUGAAGCCUGGUUAUCCUUUGCUUUACGUCACUAUCCACUUACGUCAUCCUGGUGCAUGAGCUGGCUUUCUGGAGCCCAUUCCCUAUGGUGGGAUGCCUUGCUCAACCUUAAUUCGGGGGGGGGGGGUGCGGGGGGAGACUUAGU